AUUUUAACUUCCUUUUCUUUAAUUAUUUAUUUUGUCAUUAAAAUGUUUUGGGGGAGGUAUUCUCGUUUUCAGUUUUAAGUUCAACACGAAUUUUUGACCUAUAUGUUAGUACAUAUCUAUUUUGACUAUUUUGACACUAUAGUAUUUUUCGUACUUAUUUUUGAACUUACGUCUAUAUAUGUUUUCAACUUUAUAUCUUAUUAAAGUAUGUUUCUACUUUUACACUGAUGGGGAAGAAAGUAAGAGCUUGGAGGCAUGAUAGAGGAUUUGGCAACCCGCUCGCGACGGUGUGGCAUAUUCUCUUUGAUGCACCCACUCUGACUUGAAUUCUCUUUAUACAUAUAUUCUUCUUCCUAUUUUCGAGUAUUUCGGUUUAAGUUGUGAUUUUAAAUUUCGGGACGAAAUUCUUUUAAGGGGGGUAGAUUGUAACAACCCGUCCCGGAAUUUACGGAAGAAAAUGGGUAUUUUUGUAUUUUCACUAAGUUUGGGGAUACCUUCCUUUUUAAAAUUGUUUUUGAACCUUAUUUGGUGAGCCCAAGGGGCCCAUCCCCUGUUUUGUCCCCCCCUGCCGUGUCCCUCCUCUCUUCUUUCUUCUUUCUUCUUUUUCUUUUUUCUUCUUUUCCUUCUUUUCUUUUGUUGUCUGCACCUUUUUCCUUUCUUUUCGAAAACUCUCAUUCCUCUUCUUCUUCUUCUUCUACCCGUGACACACACACACUCACACACACCCAUUGUUGCACCUGCUUGAGGACAUAGCCACCAUCAUCAUCAUCAUCAAACCUUAGCUCUCUCUCUCUCUCUCUCUCUCCCUUGCUCACGGCGCCAAGAGGGUACGAGCACCUCCGGCGAAUUUAGCUUGUUUUCCGGUUGGGUUUUGGAGUGCUUUGGCACGGGUGAAGGCACCCAAAUUUUCCGGCGAGUGUGUGUGGUUUCCGAGGGAUUUUCCGGCCACCACAAGCCGUUACACGGCUAACCCAAGGGGCAAUUAUCGAUGGCGUUUCCUUCUUCGCUAGAUGACGUGGCUUUUCGACGGCGAAGUAC
Molecule: long non-coding RNA, 1038 nt
Organism: Pyrus x bretschneideri (Chinese white pear)
Lineage: Eukaryota; Viridiplantae; Streptophyta; Magnoliopsida; Rosales; Rosaceae
Exons: 3
Source: RefSeq, a predicted model, not a curated record